This 432-nucleotide ribosomal RNA is filed under the name uncultured bacterium. Its description in RNAcentral is "partial 16S ribosomal RNA". It matches the Rfam family "Bacterial small subunit ribosomal RNA", at positions 29 to 507 of the family's 1533-position model. The record is from RNAcentral.
GCGAACGCUGGCGGCAGGCCUAACACAUGCCAGCCGAACGAACUCUUCGGAGUUAGUGGCGGCCGGGUGAGUAACACGUGGGAACGUGCCUUUUGGUUCGGAAUAACUCAGGGAAACUUGUGCUAAUACCGAAUGUGCCCUUCGGGGGAAAGAUUUAUCGCCAUUAGAGCGGCCCGCGUCUGAUUAGCUAGUUGGUGAGGUAACGGCUCACCAAGGCGACGAUCAGUAGCUGGUCUGAGAGGAUGACCAGCCACACUGGGACUGAGACACGGCCCAGACUCCUACGGGAGGCAGCAGUGGGGAAUCUUGCGCAAUGGGCGAAAGCCUGACGCAGCCAUGCCGCGUGAAUGAUGAAGGUCUUAGGAUUGUAAAAUUCUUUCACCGGGGACGAUAAUGACGGUACCCGGAGAAGAAGCCCCGGCUAACUUCGUG